Non-coding RNA from Pogona vitticeps (central bearded dragon), 463 nucleotides. Lineage: Eukaryota; Metazoa; Chordata; Lepidosauria; Squamata; Agamidae. The record is from the annotation of a RefSeq genome assembly.
AAAGCUAGCUUGCUCUUACAUGAUGUCGCCUUUGUGGUCCAUCCUCCUCGUGCUGGCAGCCUCCUCCUCAUGUGCCCGCUCGCAAGUGGCUCUGACUCAGGAAGGUCCGGUUGUGAAAAAGCCCGGAGAAUCCCAUAAACUCACCUGUGCCACCAGUGGGUUUACUCUGAGGAGCACAAAUAUGUACUGGAUCAGACAGAAACCUGGCAAGGGAUUAGAAUGGCUUGUGUACUAUUACAGUGAUGAGGACAAUGCUUAUUCCCCUGCCAUCCGAGGGCGAUUCACGGCCUCCAAGGGGGCCUCUGACUUCUAUCUCCAAAUGAAUGACCUGAAUGCAAAAGACACGGCCGUGUAUUAUUGUGCAGCAGGCACAGUGAGAAACAUCUUAGCAGACCUCAGACAAAAACUCUGGACUGCAGCCGCUUUGGAGGGAAGUCCUCUGAGUGGCACCAGUGAGCCAUAA